RNAcentral lists this transfer RNA (73 nucleotides) under Candidatus Riesia sp. GBBU. It matches the Rfam family "tRNA". From Rfam's summary of the family: Transfer RNA (tRNA) molecules are approximately 80 nucleotides in length. Their secondary structure includes four short double-helical elements and three loops (D, anti-codon, and T loops). Lineage: Bacteria; Pseudomonadati; Pseudomonadota; Gammaproteobacteria; Enterobacterales; Enterobacteriaceae. The record is from Rfam by way of RNAcentral.
UCCUCCAUAGUUCAGUUGGUAGAACAGCGGACUGUUAAUCCGUAUGUCACUGGUUCGAAUCCAGUUGGGGGAG